Molecule: non-coding RNA, 183 nt
Organism: Chlorocebus sabaeus (green monkey)
Lineage: Eukaryota; Metazoa; Chordata; Mammalia; Primates; Cercopithecidae
Source: Rfam
AUAGCUUCUCAGCCUUCUGGCUAAGAUCAAGUGUAGUUUUAUUUUUAUCAGUUUAAUAUCUGGAAUGUCUUCUAUCCAAAGACAAUUUUGUUUGUUUUGUUUUGUUUUGUUUUUGAGACGGAGUUUCGCUCUUGUUGCUCAGACUACAGUGCAAUGGCAUGAUCUCGACUCACCACAACCUCU